GUGCACAUUCCAUUGGCCUGCUUCUCUUGGAUAGGUGAGCAGUGUUAUUUCUUAUGUGCUACACAAGUAGUUGAAGGUUAAUUAGCAGUAUAACUAAAUUGUAAUGCUGCCAGUCUCCUUCAGACAAAU
Small nucleolar RNA from Neogale vison (American mink), 129 nucleotides. The record is from Ensembl. NCBI's taxonomy places the organism in Eukaryota, Metazoa, Chordata, Mammalia, Carnivora, Mustelidae.